GUUGAAAGAGCUCAGCAUGAAAACAGA
RNAcentral lists this non-coding RNA (27 nucleotides) under Cricetulus griseus (Chinese hamster). The record is from RNAcentral. Lineage: Eukaryota; Metazoa; Chordata; Mammalia; Rodentia; Cricetidae.